UACGUAGGGUGCAAGCGUUGUCCGGAAUUAUUGGGCGUAAAGAGCUCGUAGGCGGUUUGUCGCGUCUGCUGUGAAAACCCGGGGCUCAACUCCGGGCCUGCAGCCGAUACGGGCAGACUAGAGUUCGGCAGGGGAGACUGGAAUUCCUGGUGUAGCGGUGAAAUGCGCAGAUAUCAGGAGGAACACCGGUGGCGAAGGCGGGUCUCCGGGCCGAUACUGACGCUGAGACACGAAAGCGUGGGUAGCAAACAGG
RNAcentral lists this ribosomal RNA (253 nucleotides) under uncultured bacterium. RNAcentral's name for it is "partial 16S ribosomal RNA". It matches the Rfam family "Bacterial small subunit ribosomal RNA", at positions 524 to 776 of the family's 1533-position model. The record is from RNAcentral.